This is a long non-coding RNA of Chionomys nivalis (European snow vole), 372 nucleotides long. RefSeq lists it as uncharacterized. The transcript is spliced from 3 exons. Lineage: Eukaryota; Metazoa; Chordata; Mammalia; Rodentia; Cricetidae. The record is from RefSeq and is a predicted model, not a curated record.
GGGCCGGCUUCUGCAGUGUCUCUGACUCCAGUCCUGUGGCGGUCCAGACAGAGUCCAACCUCACAGACUGCCACAGUUCCUGCAGCUUGAAAAAAGAUGGGUGGACACACACAAUGAUCAGAGAUGAACUCAGCAAGUCAGCUUGGCUUGUGUGAUGAGAAUGGUAAAUGUCUGACCCGCCACCAUGAGACAAGCGUCACUGCCACCCGUGCAGAGUGGACCUGAGGAUGUAGUCCAGGAAUGCGCGUGCAGAAGGUUAGACCUACUGUUGGCUUAAGAAACACCAUGACCUCCUACCAGAAAGGCUACAGAGAUCCACAAAUUCCCCACCAAGCUAUUCCUAUGUUCUAGAAGAAAUUGGAAUCAGAAAUG